Xyrichtys novacula (pearly razorfish) is the source of this 399-nucleotide non-coding RNA. The record is from the annotation of a GenBank genome assembly. NCBI's taxonomy places the organism in Eukaryota, Metazoa, Chordata, Actinopteri, Labriformes, Labridae.
CUCACUAUGUGACAAGCGUGAACCACAUCCCCGUGGCCGAGCAGCACGUCGCCCCACAUGACGAACCAGCAGCAGACGGAUGGAUGCGAGCUGAUCCCUGCCGGGCCACCGUCCUCGCGCGGGAGAAUCUCAUCCACAGUGUGAAUGGGUAAGAAGUGAAUACACAGUUCAAUGAGCCAAAUUAAUUUAUUUUCUCCACCAGACGCUCGAGGACAUUUACGAGCCGGUCCAGCCGCUCGUUGAUCCCCGUGAUCCCCCUGAUGAUUUCUUCCUGCGAUUGCAGGACCCCCUCCGCGAGGACCCUUCCUCUGCGUCCGGGUGGUCCAGCGGAAGCGCCGCGGCUGGUGGACGCUCCACCGCUUGUCGGCGCGCAGCUGGUGCUGGUGCUGGUGCUGGGGC